AUGUGGGAGGAGCGGCGUACAGCUCAGUAACACGUGGCUAACCUGCCCUUGGGAUAGGAACACCCCCGGGAAACUGGGGCUAAUUCCCAAUAGGCGGAGAACUCUGGAAUGAGUCUCCACCUGAAAAGACGUUUAGAGCAUGCUUCUAGACGUCGCCCAAGGAUGGGGCCGCGGCCGAUCAGGUUGUUGGUGAGGUAAUGGCCCACCAAGCCUAUUACCGGUGCGGGCCGUGAGAGCGGGAGCCCGGAGAUGGGUACUGAGACAAGGGCCCAGGUCCUACGGGGCGCAGCAGUCGCGAAACCUUUGCAAUACACGCAAGUGUGACAGGGUCAUCCCGAGUGCCGACCGCUGAGGUUGGCUUUUACCCAGUCUAGAAAGCUGGGGGAAUAAGGAGAGGGCAAGUCUGGUGUCAGCCGCCGCGGUAAUACCAGCUCUCCGAGUGGUGUGGACGUUUAUUGGGCCUAAAGCAUCCGUAGCUGGCUGAACAAGUCCCCUGUUAAAUCCACCGAUUUAAUCGUUGGCAUGCGGGGGAUACUGCUCGGCUAGGGGACGAGAGAGGCAGACGGUAUUCUCGGGGUAGGGGUGAAAUCCUAUAAUCCCGGGAAGACCACCAGUGGCGAAGGCUGUCUGCUAGAACGCGCCCGACGGUGAGGGAUGAAAGCUGGGGGAGCGAACCGGGUUAGAUACCCGGGUAGUCCCAGCUGUAAACGAUGCAGACUAGGUGUUUGGACGGCUACGUGCCGUUCUAGUGCCGCAGGGAAGCUGUUAAGUCUGCCGCCUGGGGAGUACGAUCGCAAGAUUGAAACUUAAAGGAAUUGGCGGGGGAGCACCACAAGGGGUGAAGCUUGCGGUUUAAUUGGAGUCAACGCCGGA
RNAcentral lists this ribosomal RNA (873 nucleotides) under uncultured crenarchaeote. RNAcentral describes it as "bacterial SSU rRNA". It matches the Rfam family "Archaeal small subunit ribosomal RNA", at positions 67 to 922 of the family's 1478-position model. Lineage: Archaea; Thermoproteati; Thermoproteota. The record is from RNAcentral.